CAUCAUCUCCAAAAAUGACUAAUUCGAUGCCAUUAUCAUCAUGCAAGGUACAUUUAUAUGGAAAUUGAUUUUUGGGAAAUUUGUUUCAUGAUUUUUCAUGUUUAAUUUUUGUACCUUUUUAUUGUCAAACUCACAAGUGUGAAAAAGAUAUUAACUAAAGUUUUUAGUACAAGAACACUUAUCUGGUUUGUAGUGAUUGAGGAUGCCUCAAUUCUACUCAUUGGUUUAGUUUUCAUCUUCUAUGCAUGAUUGGCUAAAGUACUUGAGACGAUAGGAAAAUAUAAGAUGGUGCAUGUACUUGGUGUGAUAUUUCAUCAAAUGCUGAUUUUGAAUGGUAAAAGUGAUCAAGACACAUCAAAUUCUAUUCGCACUUCACAUGACUUCCAUCAUAUGCUAUAUUAGAAAUGAGAUUGAAGGCAAUUCAUCAAAUUUUGUCUUAGUAAUGAUACCGACAUUUGUAAGAUUCGAUACAUCUUACUAUAAGAUUAAUAAUCUUUUAUUUGGUGUUUACACACUAGUUAGAAAGGAUAUAGUAAGAUGUAGCGAACCUUAUAGUAAGAUGUAGCGGAUCUUACAAAUAUCGGUAUCAUUACUAGGAUAAAAUUUGAUGAAUUGUCUUCAACUUCAUUCCUAAUAUAGCAUAUGAUGGAAGUCAUGCGAAGUGCAAAUGAAAUUUGAUGUGUCUGAUCAGUUUUGCCAUUCAAAACUAGCAUUUCAUGGAAUAUCACAUCAAGUAGAUGUACCACCAUCUUAUAUUUUCCUAUCAUCUCAAAUACUCUAACCAGUCAUGCAUAGUUAAUGAAAACUAGAUCAGUGAGUAGAAUUGAGACAUAUCCAAUCACUACGAACAAAAUAAAUGUUUUGCACUAUUAACUUCAAUGGAUAUUUGUUUCACACUUGUGAGCUUGAUAGUGAAAAGAUAUAAAAAUAGCAAAUGAAAAAUCACGAAGCAAAUUCCCCAAAAGGUAGGCUGAGUUCGAACACCGUUUGAUGCAGUUUCGUGGACGUAAUCAUGUGAAGUCGCCAUCAUUAACUUCACGGAUCUCAUCAUUUGAGGUGUCGCCAUUAUCUCCAAAAAUGACUAACUCGAUGCCAUUAUCAUCAUGUAAGGUACAUUUAUAUGGAAAUUGAUUUUUGGGAAAUUUGUUUCAUGAUUUUUUGUGCAAUUUUUGUACUUUUUCAUUGUCAAACUCACAAUUGUGAAAAAGAUAUUAACUAAAGUUUUUAGUACAAGAACACUUAUCUGGUUUGUAGUGAUUGGGAAUGCCUCAAUUCUACUUAUUAGUUUAGUUUUCUUCUUUUAUGCAUGAUUGGCUAAAGGACUUGAGACGAUAGGAAAAUAUAAAAUGGUGAUGCAUGUAUUUGGUGUGAUAUUUCAUCAAAUGCUAGUUUUGCAUGGUAAAAGUGAUUAAGACACAUCAAAUUCUAUUCGCAUUUCACAUGACUUCCAUUAUAUGCUAUAUUAGGAAUGAGGUUGAAGGCAAUUCAUCAAGUUUUAUCCUAGUAAUUACACUGACAUUUGUAAGAUCCGCUACAUCUUACUAUAACCUUUCUAACUAAUGUGUAAACACCAAAAAAAAGAUUAUUAAUCUUAUAGUAAGAUGUAGCGGAUCUUACAAAUAACAGUGUUAUUACUAGGAUAAAACUUAAUGAAUUGCCUUUAACCUAACUCCUAAUAUAGCAUAGGAUGGAAGUCAUGUGAAGUGCAAAUAGAAUUUGAUGUGUCUGAUCAGUUUUGUCAUUCAAAAUUAGCAUUUGAUGGAAUAUGACACCAAGUAGAUGCACCACCAUCUUAUAUUAUCAUCUCAAAUACUCUAACCAGCCAUGCAUAGAAGAUGAAAAUUAGACCAGUGAGUAGAAUUGAGGCAUAUUCAAUCAUUACGAACAAGAUUAAUGUUUUGCACUAUUAAAUUCAAUGGAUAUUUGUUUCACACUUGUGAGUUUGACAAUGAAAAGAUAUAAAAAUAGCAAAUGAGAAAUCACGAAGCAAAUUCCCCUAAAGGUAGGCUGAGUUCGAACACUGUUUGAUGCAGUUUCAUGGACGUAAUCAUGUGAAGUCACCAUCAUUAACUUCACGGAUCUCAUCAUUUGAGGUGUCGCCAUCAUUUUCAAAAAUGACUAACUCGAUGCCAUUAUCAUCAUGCAAGGUACA
Molecule: long non-coding RNA, 2152 nt
Filed under: Olea europaea subsp. europaea
Lineage: Eukaryota; Viridiplantae; Streptophyta; Magnoliopsida; Lamiales; Oleaceae
Source: RNAcentral